UCCUCAGUAGCUCAAUGGUGGAGCAACCGGCUGUUAACCGGUAGGCUGGCGGUUCGAGGCCGUCCUGAGGAGCCA
Molecule: transfer RNA, 75 nt
Filed under: Brevibacillus laterosporus
Lineage: Bacteria; Bacillati; Bacillota; Bacilli; Caryophanales; Paenibacillaceae
Description: tRNA-Asn
Rfam family: tRNA
About the family: Transfer RNA (tRNA) molecules are approximately 80 nucleotides in length.
Source: RNAcentral